RNAcentral lists this long non-coding RNA (4922 nucleotides) under Lynx pardinus (Iberian lynx). Lineage: Eukaryota; Metazoa; Chordata; Mammalia; Carnivora; Felidae. The record is from RNAcentral.
GGCAGGCUCACCAGGGGAGAGUCGCAGAGGGUAAUGAAUAACCAAGGUCGCGGGCAACUUCCUCCUGCUGGCACUGUUACAGUCCGUGUUAUAUAUAGCCAUCAAGGACUCCCAUCCGGGGCUGACCAGCUGCAAAUAUUUAACACAUCCCGUGGUGGAAGGAAUGGCCACCAAUCACCAGCAGGUCCUCGGCAGUGACUCUGAAGGAAGCCAAGGGCGAAAUCUCACUGGUGUCAACCUUCUCAGUUGGCAUCUGUAAUGACCAAGAAAUGCCUGAAGCCCCUGCCGACUGUAUGUUUAAAGGUGACCCUCGAUUUAUUUAUGAGGCAGUGGAGUCCUUUAACUUUUGAACUUUUUGAUGGGUUGAGCCUGCCAAAAUGUGAUUCCAGAAGCAUUUUGAGUAAGUAAUUAUUUUUCCAAAAGAACUAAUGUCACCGACUAAUGAUGAUUGUGUGCUUGCUGUGCUGGGCAUGCAUCUAAAAAAAUAUUCUUAAUGUUUAUUUAUUUUUGAGAGAGAGAGAGAGAGCAGAGAAGGGGAAGAGAGAGAGGGAGACACAUCCCUUGUUUCCUGAGCAUUUACCCCACGGGGAUAGUCCUGACUGUCGAGGUAGUUUUCGGCACAAAGAGGGGGAGGAGGCCAACAGCGUGCAGGAGAGCAGGGGGCCCAGUGAUCUGGGUGACAGGGUCCUGUUGCAGUGGGAGCGAAAGGGCCCUGGGGUCAGCCGGACGUGGGUCUGAAUUCCACUGCUGCGGAUGAUACUUGUGGGGUCUCACUGAGACUCUCACUCUUUGUCUAAAAUGGAGACAAUGAUGCUUUCUUCCUGGGGUCAUUGGGAGGAUAAAUGGAAUUACUGAUGGAUCAGUAUCUACCUUUACUUCACAAAGUAUUUCAGGUAUUCUGUCAGGGUUUUUAUAGUAAAAGAGAAAAGGAAAACAAAGAAAAAAGUGAGUUUUCUAUGUGUAGCGUCAUGUCACCUGCGAAUAGUGGAAGUUUUACUUGGGUGGGGGAUGGGUGGGACGGGAAGGGGGUAAGGGUGCCCUGAUCACCACGUGCGCCGUGUGAUGUAUAAAAAUGUUGAAUCUCUAGAUUGUACACCCGAAACUAAUAUAACCCUGUAUGUAAAUUACACUUCCAUGAAAAAAAGUGAGGGGCGCCUGGGGGGCUCAGUCUGUUAAGGGUCCGACUUCGGCUCAGGUCGUGAUCUCACAGUCUGUGCGUUCGAGCCCCAUGUCAGGCUCUGUGCUGGCAGCUCGGAGCCCGGAGUCUGCUUUGGAUUCUGUGUCUCCCUCUCUCUCUUCCCCUCCCCUGCUCGUGUUCUGUCGCUCUCUUUCUUUCUCUCAAAAAUACAUAAGCAUUAAAAAAAAAGUGAGACAAGGUUGAAAGAAAGAAAAUAUGUAAAUAGGCAAAUGUAGGGAUCCCAAGCAAUCAUUACAGUGGGGCCACGAUUGGGUUGUUUGCCUCCUGCUGGCCAAUGCAAGUGAGAAACACCUCACCUCAAAACUCAUGACUCUUUUAUUUAGGGGGGACAUAACAAACAAGCAUGUGCCUGGCACAGAACCGGUGCCUUUGAUCGAUAAUUUCUCCUCCCUUUUCCCUAUCUAGUUUCCGCCUACAAACACCUUUGACCACCGGCCUAUUUAUAAUAGAUUAGGGUUCUGUGGACACGCAGUGGGGCAGGGAGACUUAGGAGGGUCCCCCGGGUCUGUUUUCUUCCAUGAGCUUGCCUGGGAUGCCUAACAGAGGAACUAGCCUCACCUCCCACCAACAGGGAGGCAGGGAUUGCUGUCGUGUAUUUAUUUUUGUGUGUUGAGCUCCCAUUGAUGGAGCCCCCACCCUGUGUCAGGCUGUAAGCUAAACCAGCAGACGUGCUCUCCUUGUUACUCACAGCAAUCAUUUGAAAGAGGCACUUUUAUCUUGAAGAGCGUAAAUAGCACAUUUAAAGUCACAUGGCCGGUGGAUGACAAAGCUAGGGUUCCGGUCCAGGACUCCCUGGUCAGAGGCCCUUAUGCUUAGCGUGUGAACUACACUGCCUGUCUUAUGUGUUAAUUUGUUGAAGGCAGGGGAGGGAGCCUUACUAAUGGCAUAUCUUUUGUGUUUCUAACCUACCCCUGGAAAAAAAAAAGAACCACACUCGCGCAAUCCAUUACUCCAGUGACCUAACAGUUGUCUAUCCAUUGAUUAAACAAAUGUUCAUUGUUCUCGAUAUCCAGGCUCUGGGAAUACAGCAGUGAAUAACACAGACCAAGUUCCUGCCCCCUGCGCAACUCACAUUCUAUUCAAGAGACUCAUUUCAAGAAUGGCUUUCAGGAAAAGUCAUUCUUGUCCAUUGUUCCUUAGAAAAUACCCAUAGCCCCUGCUUCUAAUCACCACCUCUGUUCCCACACUGGCUCUAUGAAUAGUAUAAAAGUUAUCUUCUGCUGAGUACCUCCAAUGUGCCAGGAAGUCUGGUAGAUACAAUAUAUAUGUUAUCUCAUUUAAAUACCACAAUGACCCUAUAAGGAAGGUAAGCCAGGGGGCACCUGGGUGGCUCAGUCGGUUAAGCGUCCAACUCUUGAUUUUGGCUCAGGUCAUGGUCUCUCAGUUGGUGGGAUCAAGUCCCACAUUGGGCUUUGUGCUGGCAGCACGGUUCCUUCUUGGGAUUCUCUCUCUCUCUUUCUGCCCCUCCCUUGCUCUCUGUCUCUCUCUCUCACCCUCUCUCUCUCUCUCUCAAAAUAAAUAAAUAAACUUAGAAAAAAUCUUUAAAAAAAAGGUAAACCAGGGCUUUUAAAAAGAUGAACAAACUAAGGCACAGAGAGGUUGGGUAUUUGCCUAAGGUCACACAGCAUAACGGUGAUGUGACUGGAAUUUAGGUCAGGUUUUGUUGACUUAGAGACGAUGCCUCCUCCGUUACACCAUGGUGCCUUCGUGCAGGUUCCAACCAUGGUUCUGUUUCUCACUAGCUCGCAAGCUUUGGAUCAGUAGACUUUUUCUUGGGACUUCAAGUGUCCCUUCUAUAAAAUGGUAGAAUUGGAUGAGGUAAGUAUUCAGGUCCUUCUGAGUCACACGUUCUCUGAGGAUAUCUCUGAGAGGGGCGAAGGUGGGAGUUUCAAGGGAUGCCCCAGGGGCCCGUUUGGCUGGAGAAGCGGAGAAACCUGAUUCGUUUUCUGUCAACCUGGGCCACUCACUCCCAGAAAGUGAAGGAAAUCACAGUCUCUCCAAGAAGAGGCCUGAGGCCCCCUGAGUGACGUGGGGUCACCGCCUUUCUGUCAAGGUCAGCCGACACUUGGAAUUCAGAGUCAGCUACCUGACAACUCAGGUGGGGGCGGACUAGGAAGCCGAGUCUGUUGCCAACAACGCCUGGCUCCUUAAGUUACUCAGCUUUUGGGUUUGUUGUGACCUAACAUGAACCAUGCAUCUAAUUAGAACUAAUUAGGGAGGUGACUCCAUGUCUGAUGAAUGAAUCCUGGAAAGGAGCAAAAUAAAGCUGUUUCAACUCUUCAGCAGCCUUGAAGAUGCCUUGGAUAACGAGGGGGGAGAACAGAAGUUGUCCACCCGUUUGCCGACUUGAGGAAGUUUGCAUUAAGAUGUUUUUAUUGAUUUCAUCAAAGCUGUUUUUAUUUUCCUGAAAAGCAGUAUUAUGGCUCCUCAAAAGAGCUCUGAUUUUGACGUGAGUCAGGUCUGGAAUUGAAUCCUGGCUCUGUCAUCACCAUCUGUUUGUGCCCGUACUAGUUAAGGUGACACCAGCUGCUCUACUGUAGACUGACUGCAGAAAGGGCUCGACUCUCGACCCCUCCCAAUGUCAUCUUUCUUCUCCUCCCAUCGAGAGACGGCUCUGUCCCCUCACCCCACAAGUAUGGCUGGCCUCAUGGCUUGCUUUGGUUAGUAAAUGUGGCAGAAGUGAUGCUGGGCAAUCCCAGUCCCAAUCCUGGACAUUUAGGAGGCCAUACUUGCUUUUACUGGGUCUUUGGACCUCUGUCGCCACCAUGAGAACCAGCCUGGACUACCUGGCCGGAGUAAGAGCACCCGCGUGGAAGAAAGUGGAAUUAUCCCGGCCCAAGCCAUUCCAGAACAUGCAGACCACUGCUGACACGGCAACUGACCUCAGAUGAAUGAGAGAGCUGAGCUGGGAUCAGAUAAAGCCGUCAAGAUAAGCCACAGGCACACAGGACCCAUUAACUGGGGAGAGAGAGCAGACGGUUGUUUCCAGCCACUGUUAGUGAGUUUGGGCUCUUACAACAAGAUACCACAGACUGGGUAGGUUGUAAACGAUACAAAGUUAUUUCUCAUGGUUGUGGAAGCUGGGAAAUCUGAGGUCAGGGUGAAAGGAUGGUCGGGUUCUAGUGAAAACCUCUUCGUGGUUUGCAGGUGGCCGUCCUUUUGCUGUGUCCUCACGUGUCACAGAGCAGAGAGAGAGCUGUCUGGUGUCUUUUAUAAGGGUACUACUGCCAUUAUGAGGUUUGCAACCCCCAUGACCUAAUACCAUCCUAUAGAACUUGUGUGUGUAUGUGUGUGUGUGCGUGCGUGCGUGUGUGUGUGUGUGUAAUUUAUUCCACGGCAGUCACUAAGUGUGGAGUGGUUUGUUUUUUUGCAAUAGGUGACCGACACAUGCAACAGAAACAAACUUCCGAAGCUCAGUGGCUCGACCACAUGAGAACACUUCUGCUCACGUGGAUCUGGUAGAACUCCCUACACCAUGUAGUCAGAGGCCCAAGCUGAAGCCUUCCAAGGUUGCAGUGAGUAUUUAGGGCAGAAGAUGGGUGUGAAAAAAGUGCGGAGCAGGUCAUGGGAGUUGUUUACGGGCAGCACGCAUGUGGUCUGCUCGCUCCUUUAACACAGUCCUCUUACCUGGUUUUUACAACACCUGUAUGAGGUAGGCAUUGUCUCCAUUUGACAGACAAGGAGACUGAGGCAAAGAGAGUUUCAAAUAACUAGCUGAGGGUCU